This is a long non-coding RNA of Cavia porcellus (domestic guinea pig), 1958 nucleotides long. RefSeq lists it as uncharacterized. The transcript has 2 exons. The record is from RefSeq and is a predicted model, not a curated record. Lineage: Eukaryota; Metazoa; Chordata; Mammalia; Rodentia; Caviidae.
GGUCCUGGGGGAAACACAAGGCGGUUAGCUCAGUCUGCGGACCGGCUUAGCUGUCCCCACCUGGUCAGCCGAUCCUCCCCUUCCCUGUGUUGACAGAGUAACCUGGGCGUCAGAGAGGGCAAGGGCAGUGGGAUCAGUCCCAGGGCGCAGGCAGAGUCUGAGGGCCUCAGCUCUUGGAGCAAGGGGUCUGCAGCCAGCCCACUCCCUGCAGGGUGCCUCCAUCGGGAGUUCGGUUAGCCCCAUGCUCCAGCCCCACGCACCCGAGCUGUUUCCUGGCCACUCUUGUCUCCUCCGUGGGAUCCUUCCCUGAUGGACAAGGACCCAGAAUGUUCUCAGAUCACAGAGGAGCUGAGAUGGGGUGGGGACCGGGCAGGGGUCAGGGGCAGCUUCAUAACCUCUCUCCUUCCUUCUGUUAAUGUCCUAAAGGUGUCAUAUAAAUAUUGAUCUGGGGCCUAGGGAUAUAGCUCAGCAGCACAAGCGCCUGCCAGAUGAGGACCCCAAGGUCUCCAGUUCCAAGGGAGAAAUGAUUUGCCCCAGGGGCACACAGCUGGCAAGUGGCAGAGCCCUGGCUGGGAGAUGGGCAUGCCACCAGGAUCACCACAGCCAAAAUCGAUUUCCUAGGGGCCAACCUUGCAGAAAGCCAGUAUACCAUACCUCUUCCCCAACUGCUGCAUACUCCCCACAAACUGUAGGCAGGGUACUGAAUAAUGCACUCCUUACUUCUAAAACUCUGCCUUGCUUCUGGGAAUGACCAGGUAACCUCAGGCCCUCUGCCCCUGGCUUCCUUUGCUCCUCCUAUAGGACUCAGCGGGGUGAUCUCCUGACCUCUUCGGCUCCACACAGUGCUUUUGCCACCACAUCAUGCAACACCCUGCACUGCCACUAUUUGCUGGCCCAUUCUUCCCUCUUCCCAUUCCCACCCCGAGCUUCCUGAGGGCGAGCUCUGCCCUUGUUACUCGGUGCCCGGCACAGUGCCUGGCAUGCAGUCAAUCGAUGUUAAAUAAAUAUUUGUUAAUGGCAAGGGAAGGAACAGACUUGCAGAGAUUAGGUUUGGGGUGGCCUGGGUAUAUUGGUCUUUUCUGAGGAAGGAGACAGAACAGGAAAGGAACUUGCCACCAUGGACACUGACCAGGUUGCUCAUGCAUUAUUAGUAAAUAGGCCAAGCAGGCAUAGCAGCACUGGCUGGAAACUGAUACCUCCCCAGUGCAAGAGCGAGGCAAGGGGACAUGCUGAGCAGGCAGGCCCAGGUCAGGGUUAGGGUGGCUCUGAGGCCUGGGCAACUGGGGCUCCCAGUGUGCUAUGGGGGGACUUGACUUUCUUGAACUUGGUGGGGAGUGCCGAGUAGGUGGCCUGAAGCUGUGACAGGGGCCAAAACACUGGCUCACUUGAGCCCCCAGAGGCGAUUUAGAAUUGCGAGUCACCCUCCCUCCACCUCCUGGAGGCCCAGUCUGCUACUGAUUGUUGAUCAGGGCAGGGUUACUUGUCAGAAGUAGUGUUCCUUAAUAGGGAGAAGCAGUGCUGAUGACAUUCCCAGGGCCUCAGACCUGAAGCAGACAUCCUGCACCUGCGGGGGCACCUCACACCCACUAAGCCCAGCCCUGCAGGAUGGACUUCACAUGCAACCUUGGCGGGGGUGGGGUGGGCUUCUGCAAAGUUACCAUCUUCUGAACUUCAGCAGAAAAAAGUUAAGUGGCAGCUCCUAGGACAGUCACCUCCUCCGAGAAGUCCAGCUGGCUCUCAGACAGUAGCUCUCUCUCUCUCUCUCUCCCUAGUUCUAAACUCAGAUCACUGCCUGGCUCAUGCCACUUUAUGCCUGCCCACGAUGGCCUCUCAACGGGUAGGCGUGGUCAGAUAGAGACACCCUCCAAAGAGGCCUUGAACAUCUAUCUUGUUUGUAAGUUACUGUGUUAAUUAAAUAGUCUGAAUUUGCCAAAUAAAAACAGCCUAAAUGGGCCCCC